GGGGAAUAUUCCGCAAUGGACGAAAGUCUGACGGAGCAACGCCGCGUGAGUGAUGAAGGUUUUCGGACUGUAAAGCUCUGUUGUUUAGGACGAAAGUGCCUGUUGCGAACAGUUACAGGUAUUGACGGUACUGAACGAGGAAGCCACGGCUAACUACGUGCCAGCAGCCGCGGUAAUACGUAGGUGGCAAGCGUUGUCCGGAAUUAUUGGGCGUAAAGAGCAUGUAGGCGGGAAUCUAAGUCUGUUGUGAAAAUGCGGGGCUCAACCCCGUAUGGCGAUGGAAACUGGAUUUCUUGAGUGCAGGAGAGGAAAGGGGAAUUCCCAGUGUAGCGGUGAAAUGCGUAGAUAUUGGGAGGAACACCAGUGGCGAAGGCGCCUUUCUGGACUGUGUCUGACGCUGAGAUGCGAAAGCCAGGGUAGCGAACG
This 426-nucleotide ribosomal RNA is filed under the name uncultured Veillonellaceae bacterium. RNAcentral describes it as "bacterial SSU rRNA". It matches the Rfam family "Bacterial small subunit ribosomal RNA", at positions 356 to 774 of the family's 1533-position model. The record is from RNAcentral. Lineage: Bacteria; Bacillati; Bacillota; Negativicutes; Veillonellales; Veillonellaceae.